RNAcentral lists this transfer RNA (76 nucleotides) under Omnitrophica WOR_2 bacterium GWC2_44_8. RNAcentral describes it as "tRNA-Ala". It matches the Rfam family "tRNA". From Rfam's summary of the family: Transfer RNA (tRNA) molecules are approximately 80 nucleotides in length. Their secondary structure includes four short double-helical elements and three loops (D, anti-codon, and T loops). RNAcentral also lists the same sequence under 3 other names. The record is from RNAcentral. Lineage: Bacteria; Pseudomonadati; Candidatus Omnitrophota.
GGGGCUGUAGCUCACCUGGGAGAGCGCUUCCAUGGCAUGGAAGAGGCAGAGGGUUCGAUCCCCUCCAGCUCCACUA